AGGUGAUGUGAAUUCUAUGAUCUGUGUCCACACAUUUUUAAAAGCCACUGCUCUAGACUCUGCUAAGAUGCCUGAGUGUUUCUCCACUUGCCCUCUCUUCCACCUCCUUACAUCUAGACCAGACUUCUCUGAGCCCAAAAGGACUAGAAGUUGCAGGUCCUUCUAGUUGUGGUAUGCUGCCUCUGCAUGGCCUGACGAGUGGUAGCCUGUCUGCUCCCAGGAUCCAAACUGGUGAAACCCUGGGCCACCAAAGCGGAGCAUGCGAACUUAACCACUUGGCCACCUGGCCGGGCCCAGAUAAUAGCCAUUCUAGAGUUGCUCAGCUAAUUUUGGGGCUCCUUUUAGAAGAAAUUGUUUCAUAUGUAGCUGUAGAUUCUGUGGCUUCAUGCAAAGAGUCCUCUGUCUCUUCUGAUACAAAUAUUUCAUCAGUUCUGGAGGUCAGAAGUCCACAAGGGGUCUCACUGGGCUACAAUCAAAGUAUCAGCAGGGCUGUGUUCCUUCUGGAGGUUCAAGGGGAGGAUCUGGGUCUGUGCCAGCUCUUCACCUCCUUCCAUCUUCAAAGCCAGAGAUGGUGGGCUGAGUCCUCACAUGGAAUCCUUCCAAACUUGAUUCGGUUGAGAAAUAUCAAUGUUUUUCUUGAAUAUUUUCUUGUCCAGAUUAGCAUCAGAAUUAACAUUUUAAGUCCUAGAACGUAACCUCAUUAAAUGUUUUACUGGAAUUGAAUAAUUUUGUAUAUUAAUUUUGGAAGAUUUGGCAUUUUUGUAAUGUUGAGAUUUCUCGUUUCAUAAUAUUGUAUAGUUUUCCAUAUAUUCGUAUUUAAAAAAAUUGAUUUAGGCGAGUUUUAUAAUUACCACACAGCUUUUUGGACAUUACUUUUUAUUGCUGAAUAGUAGUUUAUCGUAUGCAUUUACUAGAAUUUGUAUAUUGAUCCACUUGUUGACUGACAUUUGGACUGAUUCACAUUCUAGUUUUUGGCAGUUUCAAAGAAAGUUGCUAUGAACAUUUGCUGUAUUUUAAUUGUCAUUCAGUUCAAACUAUUUUAAAUUUUUUUUGUGAUUUUGUCUUGAUCCAAGAAUUAUCUAGAAGUCUGUUGUUUAAAUUACACAUAUUUGGAGUUUUCCUAGAUAUCUUGCUAUUAAAGAUUUCUAAUUUAAUUCUAUUGUGGCUAGGGAGUAUGUUCUAUAUCCUUUCAAUUCUUUUAAAUAUAGUUUAUGGUAAUACCUAUUCCUUUCUUAGUGCACAAUGUAAGUUCACAUUCACCAUGUAAAUGUGCAGUGAAAAAGAAUAUUUAUUCUGUGGUUGUUGGAUAUAAUGUCUUUCAAAUGUCAACCAGAUCAAGGUAGUUGAUAGUGUUAUUCAGACUCUUCAAGUCUUUACCGAGUAUUUUUGUCUACUUGCUCUAUCAAUUACUAAUUUUAAAUGAUUGCGUAGUUGCUUAUUUCUCCCUUUAAUUCUGUGCAUUUCUGUUUCAUGCAUUUUAAGCUUCUAUUAUGGGUGCAUACACGUUUAUUUUUAUUUUUU
RNAcentral lists this long non-coding RNA (1521 nucleotides) under Equus caballus (horse). RNAcentral's name for it is "lncRNA (ENSECAG00000031759.3)". The record is from RNAcentral. Lineage: Eukaryota; Metazoa; Chordata; Mammalia; Perissodactyla; Equidae.